RNAcentral lists this ribosomal RNA (420 nucleotides) under Acidovorax soli. RNAcentral's name for it is "bacterial SSU rRNA". It matches the Rfam family "Bacterial small subunit ribosomal RNA", at positions 226 to 638 of the family's 1533-position model. Lineage: Bacteria; Pseudomonadati; Pseudomonadota; Betaproteobacteria; Burkholderiales; Comamonadaceae. The record is from RNAcentral.
GCGGCCGAUGGCAGAUUAGGUAGUUGGUGGGAUAAAAGCUUACCAAGCCGACGAUCUGUAGCUGGUCUGAGAGGACGACCAGCCACACUGGGACUGAGACACGGCCCAGACUCCUACGGGAGGCAGCAGUGGGGAAUUUUGGACAAUGGGCGCAAGCCUGAUCCAGCCAUGCCGCGUGCAGGAUGAAGGCCUUCGGGUUGUAAACUGCUUUUGUACGGAACGAAAAGACUCCUUCUAAUAAAGGGGGUCCAUGACGGUACCGUAAGAAUAAGCACCGGCUAACUACGUGCCAGCAGCCGCGGUAAUACGUAGGGUGCGAGCGUUAAUCGGAAUUACUGGGCGUAAAGCGUGCGCAGGCGGUGAUGUAAGACAGAUGUGAAAUCCCCGGGCUCAACCUGGGAACUGCAUUUGUGACUGCAU